This 473-nucleotide ribosomal RNA is filed under the name uncultured bacterium. Its description in RNAcentral is "SSU rRNA". It matches the Rfam family "Bacterial small subunit ribosomal RNA", at positions 26 to 518 of the family's 1533-position model. The record is from RNAcentral.
AGGACGAACGCUGGCGGCGUGCUUAACACAUGCAAGUCGAGCGGAAAGGCCCUUCGGGGUACUCGAGCGGCGAACGGGUGAGUAACACGUGAGUAAUCUGCCCCUAGCUCUGGGAUAGCUCCGGGAAACCGGGAUUAAUACCGGAUACGACCACCUUAGACAUCUUUUGUGGUGGAAAGAAUUUCGGCUAGGGAUGAGCUCGCGGCCUAUCAGCUUGUUGGUGGGGUAACGCCUACCAAGGCGACGACGGGUAGCCGGCCUGAGAGGGCGACCGGCCACACUGGGACUGAGACACGGCCCAGACUCCUACGGGAGGCAGCAGUGGGAAUAUUGCGCAAUGGGCGAAAGGCCUGACGCAGCGACGCCGCGUGGGGGAUGAAGGCCUUCGGGUUGUAAACCCCUUUCAGCAGGGACGAAGCGAAAGUGACGGUACCUGCAGAAGAAGCGCCGGCUAACUACGCGCCAGCAGCCGC